CGUCAAGUCAUCAUGGCCCUUACGGCCUGGGCUACACACGUGCUACAAUGGUCGGUACAAAGGGUUGCCAAGCCGCGAGGUGGAGCUAAUCCCAUAAAACCGAAUCGUAGUCCGGAUCGCAGUCUGCAACUCGACUGCGUGAAGUCGGAAUCGCUAGUAAUCGUGAAUCAGAAUGUCACGGUGAAUACGUUCCCGGGCCUU
Molecule: ribosomal RNA, 201 nt
Filed under: uncultured Pseudomonas sp.
Lineage: Bacteria; Pseudomonadati; Pseudomonadota; Gammaproteobacteria; Pseudomonadales; Pseudomonadaceae
Description: partial 16S ribosomal RNA
Rfam family: Bacterial small subunit ribosomal RNA
Source: RNAcentral